CCUUGACAUACUAAGAACUUUCCAGAGAUGGAUUGGUGCCUUCGGGAACUUAGAUACAGGUGCUGCAUGGCUGUCGUCAGCUCGUGUCGUGAGAUGUUGGGUUAAGUCCCGNAACGAGCGCAACCCUUUUCCUUAUUUGCCAGCGGGUCAUGCCGGGAACUUUAAGGAUACUGCCAGUGACAAACUGGAGGAAGGCGGGGACGACGUCAAGUCAUCAUGGCCCUUACGGCCAGGGCUACACACGUGCUACAAUGGUCGGUACAAAGGGUUGCUACCUCGCGAGAGGAUGCUAAUCUCAAAAAGCCGAUCGUAGUCCGGAUCGCAGUCUGCAACUCGACUGCGUGAAGUCGGAAUCGCUAGUAAUCGCGGAUCAGAAUGCCGCGGUGAAUACGUUCCCGGGCCUUGUACACACCGCCCGUCACACCAUGGGAGUUUGUUGCACCAGAAGUAGGUAGUCUAACCGCAAGGAGGACGCUUACCACGGUGUGGCCGAUGACUGGGGUGAAGUCGUAACAAGGUAGGCGUAGAUGA
Molecule: ribosomal RNA, 531 nt
Filed under: uncultured bacterium
Lineage: Bacteria
Description: bacterial SSU rRNA
Rfam family: Bacterial small subunit ribosomal RNA
Source: RNAcentral